UAUUUACUCUAUAUUUAAUAUUCUAUAUACUAAAAAUAAACAAAGAUUCUAUUAAAAGCAAUCGUAUCUGUUACCACUCAUUUACUUGCAAUCAUUAUUAAAAAGAAGACUUAAUCGGAUACAAAAGGAAGCAAUCGAACUCUACAUCUGUAGGAAAACAAGACAAGUUAAUAGACCACCAGACCAAAGAAAAAUUUAGACAUGUGGUGCCUCCAAAAUGUAAAUAAUAUUUGGCGCCUAAAAGGCUAAAACCCAAGCUUUAUGAGCUUUACCCCACGGCCAGGCCUGUGUAUACCUAGUCA
RNAcentral lists this long non-coding RNA (302 nucleotides) under Brassica napus (rape). RNAcentral's name for it is "long non-coding RNA (BNAP_LNC017448)". Lineage: Eukaryota; Viridiplantae; Streptophyta; Magnoliopsida; Brassicales; Brassicaceae. The record is from RNAcentral.